CAUUAGAUGACUGAAAGCAAGGACUGGUCUCUUAAACCAUUAUAUAGUAAAUAGUAACUACUUCUAAUGA
Molecule: transfer RNA, 70 nt
Filed under: Lamprigera yunnana
Lineage: Eukaryota; Metazoa; Arthropoda; Insecta; Coleoptera; Lampyridae
Description: tRNA-Lys
Source: RNAcentral